UACAUGGGGUGCAAACGUUGCUCGGAAUCAUUGGGCGUAAAGCGCGCGUAGGUGGCCUCGUAAGUCCGCUGUGAAAGUCAAAGGCUCAACCUUUGAAAGCCGGUGGAUACUGUGAGGCUAGAGUACGGAAGAGGCGAGUGGAAUUCCUGGUGUAGCGGUGGAAUGCGCAGAUAUCAGGAAGAACACCCGUGGCGAAGGCGGCUCUCUGGGACGGUACUGACGCUGAGACGCGAAAGCGUGGGGAGCGAACAGG
Molecule: ribosomal RNA, 253 nt
Filed under: uncultured bacterium
Lineage: Bacteria
Description: partial 16S ribosomal RNA
Rfam family: Bacterial small subunit ribosomal RNA
Source: RNAcentral